Non-coding RNA from Rattus norvegicus (Norway rat), 69 nucleotides. The record is from Rfam. NCBI's taxonomy places the organism in Eukaryota, Metazoa, Chordata, Mammalia, Rodentia, Muridae.
GGGGAUUUAGCUCAGUGGUAGAGCGCUUGCCUAGCAAGCACAAGGCUCUGGGUUCGGUCCCCAGCUCUG